AUACAGAGGGUGCAAGCGUUAAUCGGAUUUACUGGGCGUAAAGCGCGCGUAGGUGGCUAAUUAAGUCAAAUGUGAAAUCCCCGAGCUUAACUUGGGAAUUGCAUUCGAUACUGGUUAGCUAGAGUAUGGGAGAGGAUGGUAGAAUUCCAGGUGUAGAGGUGAAAUGCGUAGAGAUCUGGAGGAAUACCGAUGGCGAAGGCAGCCAUCUGGCCUAAUACUGACACUGAGGUGCGAAAGCAUGGGGAGCAAACAGGAUUAGAUACCCUGGUAGUCCAUGCCGUAAACGAUGUCUACUAGCCGUUGGGGCCCUUGAGGCUUUAGUGGCGCAGCUAACGCGAUAAGUAGACCGCCUGGGGAGUACGGCCGCAAGGUUAAAACUUAAAGGAAUUGACGGGG
RNAcentral lists this ribosomal RNA (396 nucleotides) under uncultured bacterium. Its description in RNAcentral is "partial 16S ribosomal RNA". It matches the Rfam family "Bacterial small subunit ribosomal RNA", at positions 523 to 918 of the family's 1533-position model. The record is from RNAcentral.